GUACGGUGUUUCUUAAAGAAGAUCCAACAGGCAAGUCAAUUUUCUAUCCGAUUCGCUAAUUGCAAGCGAAUACCGGAAUAGGUAGCGAUCGUAGCAAGGAGCAACAGUCUAGCGAAUAAGCUGGCUGCUGUAAGACGUGCCAACCAAGACUCGUUACGACUCCCUUUUGUCCACGUCUUUGGAAGCCACGUGGGGCCUGACGUUGUCACGCGGUAAUUUCACCGAACGUGCUGCUUCGUAGGUGCCCCGACGAUCGGUCCUCGUCUAAAGACGCGACACUUUAUCGCGAUGGGAUUCGUCGCUUACCCAACAAGUGGCUCAAAGUUACAGAGAGCAACGACGAACGAAUUCCUCGAUCCAACGGCUUGCGCAUCGCACAGCGAGAUCGUUGCUUGCCAAAUGGGGUAAAAAGCACGUUCUUCCUACGUUUGCCCACGGACGUUGUCUCUCGAGAGAGAGACCGAGCCAUUCGAGCACCUUCUGCGAAGGUAAGCAGGUACGGAUUGUUAUCGAGACAUAGAAGCGAUUAUAACUUUGAAAUAAGGUCAAAUUGGAUACGCGUUUACACCAACUCUUUCCUUCUUUUCGUCUCCACUGUCCACUGUCCUCUAGUGGAUCCCACGUAUUACGAAACACACCCUGUGUACUCUCUCUCUCUCUCUCUGCCUCUCUAAACUUGACUUUUGUCUCUCAUCGUCCGUGGAUUUACCUAGUUAGGCAACAUUAUAGAACGAGAGGAAAGAAAAAUUCCGUGCUUCCUAGGUUCGUGGAAAUUACGAUAUUUACGAAGAAGAGAAGCGAUUGAGAAUGAGAAUGAACAAAAACGUGACAGUGAGUCGUCAACUUCUUCGAUAUAGAUCGUAGCGGUUACUAAACUACGCGUGACACGUGACACGUUCGAAACGUAACGUAAUACGUUUGUAAAUUAUAUAGAGACAAUUAUAAUGUUGUCAGUACGAGGAUAGAUCGUAAGAUAUUAACGGAAGAAGAAACCGGAUUGUUCGUUGUUAUAGCAUAGAAGACGUUCCAGGGGCAUCCGAGGUCUCGAAUGUUCAAGGCCUGAUUUAAUGUGUUAUACGAUUAUAUAUAAAUACUUUUUAUAUUGACGGAUACGGAAAUAAAAUGUACAUGUAUCGUAUGAUAGAAAAUGUAGAAAAUAUAAAUAUAUAAUAACGUUAUAAAUA
Long non-coding RNA from Bombus terrestris (buff-tailed bumblebee), 1184 nucleotides. RefSeq lists it as uncharacterized. The transcript has 2 exons. NCBI's taxonomy places the organism in Eukaryota, Metazoa, Arthropoda, Insecta, Hymenoptera, Apidae. The record is from RefSeq and is a predicted model, not a curated record.